AUGGCUGCUGCUCUUGAUGUUCUGUUUACCGUUGGUUGUGUUCUUCUCCCAAAUCAGUGCUGGGAUCAAGCCCAGCACUUUGAACAUGCUGAACAUGAGAUGCAGCCUCAUCCCAGUUGGGAGAAAUUGCACUUUACUUCAUACUUCUCAAACUUAGAUAGGUAUCUCAAUAUAAGCAACACAGAAGGCAAAGGACCCAAGCUGAUGACCCAUCCUAAAGCAGACACAGGUGAGAGGCCUGAAGAUCCACUACUAGAUAUUCACCCACUUAGCAACAACAAAGAGAACUGCACAAAUGUUAUGUCACCCUCCUCAUGAGGAACCCUAGUAUGGAUCAUUACCACACUCAGGCUGCAGUGUUAACAAGUCUGGAGGCAUAAUCACAGAUUGUUCACUUCAUGUAUUCUGCUGUCUAUAACAUAGCUACUUAAUUUAUCAGAGGGACCCCAACAGACAACUUCUACAGAGAAAGAAGCUCCCUCAUGUCCCAACACAGUGGAUACAGAGUGAAAGUCCAGGAACCACACUAAUAAGCUACAGGGAAACUAUAAAACAUAGACCAAGUGGAAUUAAACCUAACACUACACAACAAACUAACAUUCUAGACCACAGUGUCAAGAUAAAGCUGUUCCGUUCACUUAAAAGUGGAAGAGAUAUCCAACCCAACAGAAACAGAAAUAUAAGAAACAUUUUUUUAAAAAGGUAACAUAAUUACUUCAAAAGUUCACUAUUCUCUAAUAACUGACCCUAAAGAUAUUGAAAUAGGUAAAGUGCCCAAUAAAGAAUUCAAAAAGAUGAUUUUUAAAAGACCAAUGAAUUACAAAAGAACACAGAAAAAAAACUGAGUGAAAUUAGACAAUGCAGGGCA
This 868-nucleotide long non-coding RNA is filed under the name Fukomys damarensis (Damara mole-rat). RNAcentral describes it as "lncRNA (ENSFDAG00000024502.1)". Lineage: Eukaryota; Metazoa; Chordata; Mammalia; Rodentia; Bathyergidae. The record is from RNAcentral.